UUCUAAUCUGUUGGAUAAAAUUAAUAAAUACCCAAAAAUCAAUCGUCGCAAAAAUCACAUAUAUUUUUUUACAUACCUCUUUAUGGUGCGGAAUUAAUGUUGUGAUUACCAGAAUCUGAUCUCGUCUUAUUUUACGAACUCAUCGAUCCGCCAACGUCCUGUCUCAAUUUGUUGCACGUUGUUCUUACUCGUUGCAAUCCGGCUACUAGAGUCGAUCGCCGCACACCGUCCAAAUCCCUAGGGUUUAUGAUGGUG
This 255-nucleotide long non-coding RNA is filed under the name Ananas comosus (pineapple). Its description in RNAcentral is "long non-coding RNA (ACOM_LNC030278)". The record is from RNAcentral. Lineage: Eukaryota; Viridiplantae; Streptophyta; Magnoliopsida; Poales; Bromeliaceae.